CGGUCUGGCGGCGAGUGGUGAACGGGUGAGUAAUGUAUCGGAACGUGCCCAGUAGCGGGGGAUAACUACUCGAAAGAGUAGCUAAUACCGCAUACGCCCUACGGGGGAAAGGGGGGGAUCGCAAGACCUCUCACUAUUGGAGCGGCCGAUAUCGGAUUAGCUAGUUGGUGAGGUAAAGGCUCACCAAGGCGACGAUCCGUAGCUGGUUUGAGAGGACGACCAGCCACACUGGGACUGAGACACGGCCCAGACUCCUACGGGAGGCAGCAGUGGGGAAUUUUGGACAAUGGGGGCAACCCUGAUCCAGCCAUCCCGCGUGUGCGAUGAAGGCCUUCGGGUCGUAAAGCACUUUUGGCAGGAAAGAAAUCGCAUGGAUUAAUACUCUGUGUGGAUGACGGUACCUGCAGAAUAAGCACCGGCUAACUACGUGCCAGCAGCCGCGGUAAUACGUAGGGUGCAAGCGUUAAUCGGAAUUACUGGGCGUAAAGCGUGCGCAGGCGGUUCGGGAAGAAAGAUGUGAAAUCCCAGGGCUUAACCUUGGAACUGCAUUUUUAACUCCCGAGCUAGAGUGCGUCAGAGGGGGGUGGAAUUCCGCGUGUAGCAGUGAAAUGCGUAGAUAUGCGGAGGAACACCGAUGGCGAAGGCAGCCCCCUGGGAUGACACUGACGCUCAUGCACGAAAGCGUGGGGAGCAAACAGGA
This 700-nucleotide ribosomal RNA is filed under the name uncultured beta proteobacterium. RNAcentral's name for it is "bacterial SSU rRNA". It matches the Rfam family "Bacterial small subunit ribosomal RNA", at positions 81 to 777 of the family's 1533-position model. Lineage: Bacteria; Pseudomonadati; Pseudomonadota; Betaproteobacteria. The record is from RNAcentral.